CUCUUGCAUCGUUUUCUCUCUCAGCACCUCUGUGUCUCACACUUCUGCUCCACUGUCUUCUUUCCAUGGAGGCACUUCCUGUGUUAUUCUGGGGUUUCACCUUUCCUAUACCUUCUGCUUGCCUGUGGCCCAGGAAUCAUCUCCACCCUGAUGUUACCUGAAUUUGCACUUUGAGGGAGCACCAGCAGCUGCCUUUUCCCCUCUGUGGCACUUGACUCCAAUUUCUGAGACAGGAUCGGAGUAACUCGGCUCAUCCUUUCGAUCCAGUUAGACCCAGACAAGACCUCUCUGGACCCACUGAAGUUUGCUGGAAGGUGCCACCUAGUGGAACAUCAGAUGACCUGCCGUUUAGAGGAAAAGAAGCCUUGGGAAUGACAAGGGCCUGGCCCAUGACUUCUCUUCUGAUUGACCCUUCUUGCUGAAGUACGUCUCAGGGGAUCCCAAAAGAUCUGCCUGUUACUGAUAACAGGAUGGAACGCUGAAAAGUAAGCAAGAGAAUAAGCAGCUCAUUGAAAAAAAAAGAAGAAAGAAAGAAGAAAAGGAAGCAAAGAUGGGAAG
Long non-coding RNA from Canis lupus familiaris (dog), 558 nucleotides. RefSeq lists it as uncharacterized. The record is from RefSeq and is a predicted model, not a curated record. NCBI's taxonomy places the organism in Eukaryota, Metazoa, Chordata, Mammalia, Carnivora, Canidae. The transcript has 3 exons.